AACGAACGCUGGCGGCAUGCCUAACACAUGCAAGUCGAACGAGACCUUCGGGUCUAGUGGCGCACGGGUGCGUAACGCGUGGGAAUCUACCCUUGGGUUCGGAAUAACAGUUAGAAAUGACUGCUAAUACCGGCUGAUGACGUAAGUCCAAAGAUUUAUCGCCCAAGGAUGAGCCCGCGUAAGAUUAGCUUGUUGGUGGGGUAAUGGCCUACCAAGGCGACGAUCUUUAGCUGGUCUGAGAGGAUGAUCAGCCACACUGGGACUGAGACACGGCCCAGACUCCUACGGGAGGCAGCAGUGGGGAAUAUUGGACAAUGGGCGCAAGCCUGAUCCAGCAAUACCGCGUGGGUGAUGAAGGUCUUCGGAUUGUAAAGCCCUUUUAGUGAGGAAGAUAAUGACGGUACUCACAGAAAAAGCACCGGCAAACUUCGUGCCAGCAGCCGCCGUAA
Molecule: ribosomal RNA, 449 nt
Filed under: uncultured bacterium
Lineage: Bacteria
Description: partial 16S ribosomal RNA
Rfam family: Bacterial small subunit ribosomal RNA
Source: RNAcentral